This 337-nucleotide long non-coding RNA is filed under the name Mytilus galloprovincialis (Mediterranean mussel). Lineage: Eukaryota; Metazoa; Mollusca; Bivalvia; Mytilida; Mytilidae. The record is from RNAcentral.
CCAGUAUUUUGAGACAUGUAGCCAGAUUUACAUGUUUGUCAGUUUGUAAUACAUGUUUUUAAUGUAUUAUUUUAUUUAUCUUUACUAGUAUAAUUCAUGUACAUGAUAUAGUUUGGGAUGCGAUGAACGUAAUUGAUAAUUUUUAUGCCGAUACUUAUGCACUGUAAGGUCGUUUGCUUUUUUCUAUAUACUAGAAUUAUUAAUAAAAAUAACAUUGGACAAGACAUAUAUAUAUAUAUAUAAAUAUAUAUACUGAUGAUAUUUUAAAGUUCAUACUCUUCAUUUAAUACAUGAUAAAAACAUCUUUUCUGUUUAAUGGUUGAUUAUUAAAGAAGAG